UACACAUCAAAGGUAAAAGUCUGGACAAAGACUGACAUAAGGUGCAAAAAACAAAUCCUCUUUUGCAACCCAGAACUCAUUGAUCAGUAUGAGUUUUGAUACGUAUAAGCAGGAAUAGU
Molecule: small nucleolar RNA, 119 nt
Filed under: Ochotona princeps (American pika)
Lineage: Eukaryota; Metazoa; Chordata; Mammalia; Lagomorpha; Ochotonidae
Description: Small nucleolar RNA SNORA40 (ENSOPRG00000024286.1)
Rfam family: Small nucleolar RNA SNORA40
About the family: The snoRNA ACA 40 belongs to the H/ACA family of snoRNAs and guides the pseudouridylation of 28S rRNA subunit at position U4565. NB This family has a high threshold value to exclude a large number of closely related sequences that do not appear to have conserved H and ACA boxes, and may be pseudogenes.
Source: RNAcentral